GCCCCCGUAGCUCAGGGGAUAGAGCAACGGCCUCCGGAGCCGUGUGCGCAGGUUCGAAUCCUGCCGGGGGCG
RNAcentral lists this transfer RNA (72 nucleotides) under Actinopolymorpha pittospori. RNAcentral describes it as "Actinopolymorpha sp. PIP 143 tRNA". It matches the Rfam family "tRNA". Rfam says of the family: Transfer RNA (tRNA) molecules are approximately 80 nucleotides in length. Their secondary structure includes four short double-helical elements and three loops (D, anti-codon, and T loops). Further hydrogen bonds mediate the characteristic L-shaped molecular structure. tRNAs have two regions of fundamental functional importance: the anti-codon, which is responsible for specific mRNA codon recognition, and the 3' end, to which the tRNAs corresponding amino acid is attached (by aminoacyl-tRNA synthetases). tRNAs cope with the degeneracy of the genetic code in two manners: having more than one tRNA (with a specific anti-codon) for a particular amino acid; and 'wobble' base-pairing, i.e. permitting non-standard base-pairing at the 3rd anti-codon position. Lineage: Bacteria; Bacillati; Actinomycetota; Actinomycetes; Propionibacteriales; Actinopolymorphaceae. The record is from Rfam by way of RNAcentral. RNAcentral also lists the same sequence under 16 other names.